This 505-nucleotide ribosomal RNA is filed under the name uncultured bacterium. RNAcentral's name for it is "bacterial SSU rRNA". It matches the Rfam family "Bacterial small subunit ribosomal RNA", at positions 29 to 529 of the family's 1533-position model. The record is from RNAcentral.
AUUGAACGCUGGCGGAAUGCUUUACACAUGCAAGUCGAGCGGCAGCACGGGGGCAACCCUGGUGGCGAGCGGCGAACGGGUGAGUAACACAUCGGAACGUACCCUGUCGUGGGGGAUAACGAGUCGAAAGAUUCGCUAAUACCGCAUACGCUCUACGGAGGAAAGCGGGGGACCGCAAGGCCUCGCGCUAACAGAUGAGCCCAAGUCGGAUUAGCUAGUUGGUGAGGUAAAGGCUCACCAAGGCGACGAUCCGUAGCUGGUCUGAGAGGACGACCAGCCACACUGGGACUGAGACACGGCCCAGACUCCUACGGGAGGCAGCAGUGGGGAAUAUUGGACAAUGGGGGCAACCCUGAUCCAGCGACGCCGCGUGUGUGAAGAAGGCCUGCGGGUUGUAAAGCACUUUUAGUGGGGAUGAAAAGCCGAGGGCUAAUACCUUUCGGUCUUGACCUAACCCAAAGAAAAGCACCGGCUAACUCUGUGCCAGCAGCCGCGGUAAUUCUCG